Molecule: long non-coding RNA, 5274 nt
Organism: Astatotilapia calliptera (eastern happy)
Lineage: Eukaryota; Metazoa; Chordata; Actinopteri; Cichliformes; Cichlidae
Source: Ensembl
GAGGAGAGCAAGUCUCUGAAGAGAAACUAAUAGCUUUACAACAUAAACGCCCCUUUCCUUUUAUUUGACAUGAACUAACUUUUUAGCUCUGGUUUUAUGUGGAGCAUCAACUCUUUGCAAACAUUGCCAUCUAGUGUCAAACUUUAGGUAAUGCCGUGCAGAAAAUAUGGUUAUUACACAUUCACCAAACCUUUCUGCUGUACUUAAACAGAUGUAAACACAUGCAGAUAAAUACAAUGAUUUACUAUUUCUGAAGCCCUCAGAGAUUAAACAUUAAAACAUAAACAGUGGAGCAUUGAGAAGCGGGUAAACAUUUUUUGGAGUCAACAGUUUUUCCUAAAAUGUGAAACAAGUUGAGUUUUUUUUUUUUUUCAUUUUUAUUUUGUAAAAUCUGGUCCAAUAAACAGAUGACAGUUUCUUCAGUCUGUGAAUCAACAGGUGCGUCCCGCCUACCAACAAGUCCUCGGAAACACGUGAAUAAAGUGAACAGCAGGGGGCGCUCUAAAGCAACGACUGACGAAAGACGGAGCGCAAGAAUGAAGUAUUGCAACUAAAAGAAGCGCAGAGAGAAAUUUCCGUUCCUAACAAUAUCAGAGUAAUUUCUUUUUUUACUAAAUGCAUAAAUAAAAUAAAAUGAAUCAUUUUGUGUGAAGGAUUGAAAAAAAUGAGCUUCACGUUUGGAGACACCGCUCGGUCACACAUAUGCAGCAGCACAGCAGUGAUAAAAUGAUCAUAAAGCAGCAUUAAGUGUUUUAUGAUCCUAAAGAAAUAAAUGAAAAUAAAGACGCGUGCACCACAGAGCUUUAAUAAAGCGAGUCGUUAGGAACAGGUACGUUUUCUUCACGCUGCUGCUCUGAGUGCACACCGCUCGCGCGUGCACGUGCGUUCAGAUGCGUGUGCGCGCAGGCGGAGGAUCGCCGCGGAGCCGUACCGUGUAGCAGGCACAAGCCGCUGGGCGCGCAGGAGAAGCCGCAAAAAAAUCCAGCAGCCGCUGCUUGAAGCUGCCAGGAGCGCAGAGAACGUGUCGGAACUUCAGUGCACACGUUUCUGCAGCAAAAUGAAACGGAUCCUUCUUCUUAUCGAUGAUGCUGAACACAAGGCCAGUGAUACAAAAUGGGAGGCAAGCUCAGCAAAAAGAAGAAGGGGUACAGUGUAAACGAUGACAAGGCUAAAGACAAGGAUGCCAAAGCAGAGGGGGCCUCAGCAGAGGAGAGCGAAGCACCGAAAGACAACAAGGACGGGGCUCCAGCUGCCGGUGAUGCUAAGGAGAUAGCUAAUGACACGGCAGCCAAGGAGGCGCCAGCAGCUGAUGCCGCGGCACCCAAAGAGGAGGAAAAGAACGCAGCUCCUGCCGCAAAGGAGGCAGAGAAACCUGCCGCCAACGCUGAGCCCAAAACGGAGGCGCCCAAGAGCGCAGAGCCCGCCAAGGCCGAGGAGAAACCAGCCGCCCCUGCCCCGGCCAAAGAAUCGGCCCCGGCCGCGAAGGAAGCCGAGGCUAAGGCCGCGGCACCCACCCCUGCAGCCGAGAGCAAAGAUGAGGCCGACGCCAAAAAGACUGAGGCCCCUGCGGCACCAGCAGCCAAAGCCGAAGCGGCCCCCGCUGCCUCCCCCGACCCCAAGCCUACAGAGGCAGCGGCAGCUCCCGCCCCAGCAAAGGAGGCCACCCCUGCUCCUAGUUCAACACCAGCCGCCGAACCUCCCAAGGAGGCAAACGCCACAGAGGCACCAAGCAAGGAUCAAACCGUAGCAGUUCAAGAUUAAUGGACAGCCACUUUUCGGAAAUGAAGAAAUAAAUUACCUAACUCAACAACGAUGAAGAUUAAAAAAGAAAGAAAGAAAUUUACUAGUCCACCCAUAUUAUGAUAAUAACAAUAAUAAUAAUAAUUGUAAUGAUGAAGAUUUGUUGAUCGAGGAGGACUGAAGCAACCACCUGGAGAAGUUUCCCACCGCUGCAGAUGAUUAUUGCUAUUAUUAUUGUUAUGUUUUAUUCUAUUUUUUUUCUGCCGUAGUAUUUGAACUUUGAUACGAGUGUAUGUCGGCCAUACGCCUCGCCAUUUAUCCGCCAUUCCUCUCGCUCAUACAGUCCCACAAAGUUUGGCCUGAUUCCCACGUCAGCCCACAGAAGGCUCCUGCAUUCGAUCUGUGGACGUCUAAAUUUUGGGGUUCUGAUGGAGGGAAGGGGAGAGGUUAAGAAAACACCUUACCAGCUGGACUCAAGUCGAAUCUGUCCCCUCUUCGGCUCUCCCUCUUCCUCUCAUCCUCCUCGUCAGAAUAUUGUGAUUUUGGCUCUGGCCUGGUACCUCCAGCUUUUCAGUGCUGUGGAGUCGUGGUUGUGGUCGUGCGUGAUUGUGUGUGGUAUUGUCGGGUUGUGUUGCUUCCUAUUUUUCUCUCUAAAAAGAUCCCACUUUCUUUGAAGAGCUUUUACUUGGAGAUUCAUUGUGAGGACUGGGAAUUUUCAGGCUUUCUAAGGCAUUUCGCAAGGUUGGUAAAGGUGGGCUUUGCAGAGAAAAAAACAACAUUAGACAUUAAACAGUUGUAGGAUUUUUCAGAUAAACUUCUACAUUUUGUACUGAAACCCUUAGCUAUAUUGUUAGUAAACUAAGUGGGUUUUUUAACAUUUGUAUUGCUUAGAUAAUCUGCAAAGCCUCGCUGAAAAGAUCUCUAAAAUGUUCUUAGAAAGUUCAAUGCAAGCCUCUCGUCCUCGAGCAAAAUCUGAAGACAAAUUAGAGUAAAAAUUAUCGUAUACGUUUUUUUUGUUUGUUUGAAAAGACAUAUCUUUUGCUGACCUGGGUGAAGUAGACAGUACGGUCACAUCUUAGAGGUUGUUUGAACUUGCUUAAAAUACCAAGAAGGUGAUGUUUGCUCCUUCAUGGGUAGAGCUCAGUUAGUGAAUGCUCAGUUGUGCCUUUGUAACCUAAAUAGACAAGACUGGCACUCAAACAUCCUGUGAUUGUCUGGAAGACAAAUCAUUUCCUUAGCGAAAGUAAAAGGGUGUAAAACUGACUGCAAGACACACUUUCGAUUCAAGUAUUAGCAGCACAAUAUGUUUCUGAAAAAGUCAACAGUGGAUUCUUUUACUUUGAAAUAAAAUUGUUACAUGCUCACAUACAAUCUCCUGACACGGAAAUUUCAACAGUUAAAAAAGACACUAUCCAACUAGUAGAGCCGUUUCAUAUUCAAGUUUAAUGGCCCUACCAGAGCAAACCUUACAGCACUAAAGCAGUCUGCCCUGUUGAGCAAACCUCACCCUUUUGGUAUCAAAGCAGUGAAAAGGCCUUAAGCGAGAGCGCUCACAAUGCUGUUUGACCCAGGUCUGAUUUACUGGGUUUUGAAUCAGUGUAGCUUUCCACCACUAACAGUCUGAUACCACUGAAGAACAGGCAGGAGGCAGGAUUUCAGCAAACGAUCAGAGCCAUCAGCAACCAAUUCAGUGUAAUAUGGUCCAUGUUUCUAAGGCUGGAAGGAAAGGCCUUGCACAUGGAAGGGAGCCUCUGAUUUAGUCAUUAUCGCCAUUCGUGCAUUUUCCUUUACUGUUUGGAAAUAUAGGUUACAUGUAUGUACAUCUGUGCAGUGGUGGAAGGAAAAGUACUAAAGUACACCUUUGAUACAUUAAAAACUAGCAAUAUUGAUAGAUGUCUCCACCCAAAUUUAUUUUUACUGUAAACACCAAGCACACUUUUGAAAACACCCAGCUUCCACCGCUUGAGGAACUUUUUUUAAAAGCCAAAACACUUUGGUGUAAAACCGUAAACAGUGUGAGACUUUGAAAGGAUCAUGAUAUCUUUGGUCAUGGCAGUGGAGUCCUGCAAACAAAAAUAGCUUGGGACUAAACUUCCACAGCAAAACUUUAGGAUUCCAGCAAAGGAGAGACUUAGGUUGAGUUGCGAUGGACGAGGGGAGGACGAUGUAGCAUAGAAGAAAGUAGAAGAGACAUAAAUGGCACGUGAUCCAGUGGGUAUGCCAACAACAGUAUGCAUCAAAUAUGACGUCUUGCCCAAGUGUAUUAGAACCACAUUGCACAGUGUGGCUCAAAUUGCAUGUAUGGAGACCUUUAAGGGUUUUUAGUGGGAGUAAUCUUGCACAGAGAUGGAUGCUUAGAAAGCAGCAGUUGUGGUAUUGACUCCAUUCUUGGUUUUUCAGUCGUGUUCAUCACUUGUGCGAGUAGGACGUGGCGGUUGUUCGGCAUGGUGUUAACUCCACCCAUCCUCCGCUACUAAUGAAUUACCUGGUUAAAAAAGUUAAGGUGACAUUACAGCGUUUUACAGAGCUGAGCAUCCUUAAACUCUCAGCAACCAGCAAAAACCAGCCCAUUCAGAUUCACACAUGUGCAGGUUUACGGUGAUACUGAGACAGUUCUAACUUGCCCCAUGUGGACGUUUAAAGACCCCAUAGCAUCACUUUUAAAUGCACUGGUUAAGUGUAACCCAAAUCUCUGUCUUGUACUUAACCUGUGUGCAUGUGCGUCAUGCUGCUUGUGUCUUUAGCACAGUGCAGUUAUGCAGCACUCUCAGUGCAAACUAGUGAAAAUAGAAUACACCGGCCCAGGAAAGACAAAGGAGGGAUUUUUAUCAUUGAUACUACAGUAGAAACAUUUUGAUGAUUAUCAUAUGAGAUGAAAAAGGAAGAAAUGACAGUGAAAGAAAACCAGCAGGACAGAUGGAAGGAAGAACGUGAAGGACAAGAAAGCUCAGAUUUUAGAUUGUACUUCAUGAUGAACACAGUGGACGAAGUAGUACGACUUUAUUGAGCUAAAUGCUUUUGCACAAAACAGUCAAGUAAGGUACCAGCAACCCAAAAUUGUGCUUGGCUUAUUCAAACCAACAUUCGUCUUUCCACCUUUGCAUGUAUGUAAGUAUAUGUAUAUAUAUAUUUAGUCAUCUCAGCCAUCCAUCUGCCACUUUUCAGUUCCAUCCAUGUGACGUUCAGCGUUUUCCUCCCAGCACUCGUCAAACCGUAGCAGAAACAAACACUCGAGGAGCGCCGCUUGUCACAUGGCUCAGUUUUUUCUUCCUCUCUUGACUCAGUAACUUGCAUGUCCGUGGUUGGGUGAACCUGUAGUCCUGUCUUUUUGGUCAAGUGGAAAAAAUAAUAAUUUUUCAGUCUGCAUCCAUGGCAACUACAGUUGAUAUUUUCAUCCCAUGUUUCAUCACUGCUACUUCCACACCACACGUUCAGACAAACAAACAAAAAGAUGAUAUGGAAAUUGAUGCAUUCAAAAUUAUAUGUACUUGUAUAAAUGGUGGAACAGUAAUAAAAUGUACUAAAUUGACUUGA